Long non-coding RNA from Chelonia mydas (Green sea turtle), 2950 nucleotides. RefSeq lists it as uncharacterized. The transcript has 3 exons. The record is from RefSeq and is a predicted model, not a curated record. NCBI's taxonomy places the organism in Eukaryota, Metazoa, Chordata, Testudines, Cheloniidae.
AAAACUACUUGCUUACAAAAUCAGACAUAAAAAUACAAAAGUAUCAUGGCGCGCUGUUACUGAAAAAUUGCUUGCUUUCUCAUUUUUACCAUAUAGUUAUAAAUCAAGUGGAGUAUAAAUAUUUCAGCGUAUAGUAUGUAGAGCAGUAUAAACAUGUCAUUGUCUAUAUGAAAUUUUAGUUUGUACUGACUGUGCUAGUGCUUUUUAUGUAGCCCGUUGUAAAAAUAAUUACAAAUAAUUAGAGUUGAUGUACCACCUGGAAGACCUCUGCGUACCCCCAGGGGUACACAUACCCCUGUUUGAGAACCACUGGGUUAGAUUAUGUAUUGUGGAAGGAUACAAGGCAUCGGAAAUUUCAGUCCCCGAAGUGGUCAGGACACACUCCCGCAAUCCUUGGUGACAUCGUGUGCAAAAUAGCUCAUGCAUUUACAUCAGAAAUUUGUAAGGCGACCACAUGGUCAACUACUACCAUUGUUAGCAAGCAUUACAAGGUAGACUUCCAGUUCUGCGCACUGGUGACCUGAGCAGGAAGGUGCUGGAGGUGAUGGCUUAGAAAUGAUUUUUGCCUUUGAGCAAAUGUUAUGAGCAGGGAGGGGAUACUGUUUUCCUUUUCUCCUGACCUUCUCUAUGCCCUCCCUACAUCUGUUCACUGCUCGACAAGUCCCAGAGAAUUGUGGGAAAUUCUGGGCUACAGUAUAGAAAAUUUCUUAUUGAUGAUUUCCUUUCUCCUAGCAGUCUCUCCCACAAUUCUACCCACUUGGCCUCGAGCCAAAAGGUCAGCUGCUGAGUGGGAUCUUUAACAUGGGCCUUUUUUUUCUGUUGUGGUUCACUGAACAUAGUUGGUCAGUUACCUCUGAAGUAUUUGUUACUAAUAUUAUUAUACAAUUUUUACAGCUUUGGAAUAACUCAUCUGUCCACAAGCGGGAGCCGAGGGGGCAUGGCCAGAGUGGUGGCAACAAAAAGCUGAUCUGCCUCUGUGAACUGCAAGAGUGAGCAGAGCAGCCCAGAUGUCAAGAACUAUGGAAGACGCGGCUAGCAGAAAGGUAAUUAUUGGUCAUGCUCUCCUCCAGAACCUUCAAUGGAACUCAAGAUUCCUGAAUAUCAGCAUUCCUCUGCAGUCAACAAAUAUCUGUGAAACCCACUGGCAAAGUUGUGUCUUAUCCUGCCUCCAGUGCUACUACACAUAGGGAAUGACAAACUACUAUUGAUAUCAGAUACUUCAUUAGUUCAAGUGGCAGAGGUCUGUGCUGAGGAUCUUAAGGCUCCAACCUUGCUGAUGACCUGUUGAAGGUGUCUGGACCCCUUCCUCAUUAGUUCAAAGGUGUUGCAGUACAGCGUGCAGAGUUUUGGAUUCCAGAUCACACCAGCCCCAUUGUAACUGAAAGCCAUGGGUUCUGUGGGAAACAAUGGCAACUGAAAGGGACAACUUGCACCAGUGAUUUGUUUCCUUUAGAACAAACUUUUCAUAGCUGGCCACUAACUGUGUUUUCACUUUCUGCUUGCCCAACUUGAGACCCUGGAAUCUGAUUUGCAAAAGUUCUGAGCACUCACAGAUGCAACUACAGUCAGUGGGAGCUGUGCUUUGAACAUACAGUGCUAUAAAAAUGCUAACUACUCUCUGAAAAAUCAGAAUGCAGAGGUCUGAAAUUGGGCAACCGAAGUUUAUGGACACUUUUGAUGUUAAUAUCUCUGUUUCAGUACCCCAUUUAUAAAAAGGGGAUAUCACCUGAUCUCACAUGGGAGUUAUGAAUAUAAAUUCAUUAAUACUUGUGAAGCACUCAGAUACCAUAGUGAAGACUACCAUAGAAAAGUGAAUUAGGAAAUUAAUAAUUCUGUCAUCAGUGUUGGAUUUGAAUAGGGUGCAAUUAAUAUGGGUUUGGGCCACACAUUAAACAAUGAGAAUAAACAAUAUAUUGAAUAAUUGCUAAUUCAGUGAGCCAGCCCUCCUGUGCCCUGAAUGAUGCAAGGCUAGGUCAUGGGCAGAAAAUAGUGUAGUUAAACACUAUCAUAAUAUAUUUGCAUGUAGAAGGGGCCACAUUUUGUAGAGGUAAAAUUAUGGCAUUUUUCUAAUUAAGGGCUUGACUUUGCAAACUUAACAUUCUUGUAUUAUUGUGUGUAAUCUGUUACAGUAGUGCCCAAUGGCCUCAAAUUAGUCUUAAUAGAAUGACUUAGGAUAUUAAAGUUAACCAUGUGCAUAAAUGUUUACAAGAUCAGGGUCUUACAGAUGUAUAUGAAGACUUAAGUCCCUGCCUGCCCUAAAGAAUUUACAGUCCAAAGAUUCUUAUCUCUGUCAGAAUAAAAAUCUAACCUAUUGCUGUUACCUCUGAAUUUCAUUCCUUUCUCAGUUGCUUAGAUAUUUUUUGCUUAUGUUUUUUCUAAAGUAUAAUAGGGCUUAGUCAUACCUUUGUUCUCUUAGCAAUCAACUUUUUUUUUCUGAAAACACAAGUGGCGCUAGCCCUUUAAAAAAUGAAAUCUUUGGGGCAGAUGGUGAUGGAGAAUUUCUGGAUAGUCUUCAGUCUUGUAACAAAGUCUCUCUCCUGCAUUUAAAAAUCAAAUACCUAGAUGAGAUAUCUGAGGCAGUAGUUGUCGUCUCUUUUUAAUUAAUGAAAACCCACUUCUGUAUAAUGCGGCUCUUAAAAAGGAAUUAGCAAAAGAUAGUUUAAGUACAUAGCCCAUCUGGGUUUUUGUCCUAAUCAUAACCCUUGAUUUAAAAACUUGUUAGGGAAAUGUUUUGUUGUAAUAUAAUGCAUUGCUAGAAAGUCUAGGCUUCAAGUCAGGUACUGUAGAAGUUAACACAAACUGCAGCACACAACUUUGGCUUGGCACUGCAGUUUUAAUAAGGCAAUUCUAAUUCAAAAUAUUGUAUUACAUGAUAUGGGUGAUUUUCCUGCAUUAUUACUGAAAUGCCUUUGUAUAUUGAAAUUAAAUGUUUUUAGCUCUGCUAGGUAGC